Molecule: non-coding RNA, 74 nt
Organism: Chlamydomonas reinhardtii
Lineage: Eukaryota; Viridiplantae; Chlorophyta; Chlorophyceae; Chlamydomonadales; Chlamydomonadaceae
Source: Rfam
GGCUUGUUAGCUCAGUUGGUUAGAGCGUGGUGCUAAUAACGCCAAGGUCAUCGGUUCGAUCCCGAUACGAGCCA